GGAGUUGUGACUCAGUGGUAGAGCGCUUGCCUAGCAUGCAGGAGGCACAGGUUCAAUCCCUGGCAUCACAU
Molecule: transfer RNA, 71 nt
Filed under: Ictidomys tridecemlineatus (thirteen-lined ground squirrel)
Lineage: Eukaryota; Metazoa; Chordata; Mammalia; Rodentia; Sciuridae
Description: Spermophilus tridecemlineatus (thirteen-lined ground squirrel) tRNA
Rfam family: tRNA
About the family: Transfer RNA (tRNA) molecules are approximately 80 nucleotides in length.
Source: Rfam by way of RNAcentral